This 253-nucleotide ribosomal RNA is filed under the name uncultured Ktedonobacter sp. RNAcentral describes it as "partial 16S ribosomal RNA". It matches the Rfam family "Bacterial small subunit ribosomal RNA", at positions 524 to 776 of the family's 1533-position model. Lineage: Bacteria; Bacillati; Chloroflexota; Ktedonobacteria; Ktedonobacterales; Ktedonobacteraceae. The record is from RNAcentral.
UACGUAGGGGGCGAGCGUUGUCCGGAGUUACUGGGCGUAAAGCGCACGCAGGCGGUCGGCCGCGUAGGGGGUGACAGUCCUCGGCUUAACUGAGGAAGCGCUCUCUAAACGGGUCGACUUGAGGGCCAGAGAGGGACACGGAACUCCGGGUGGAGCGGUGAAAUGCGUAGAGAUCCGGAAGAACACCGAAGGCGCAGGCAGUGUCCUGGCUGGCUCCUGACGCUCAGGUGCGAAAGCUAGGGGAGCAAACAGG